RNAcentral lists this ribosomal RNA (497 nucleotides) under uncultured bacterium. RNAcentral describes it as "partial 16S ribosomal RNA". It matches the Rfam family "Bacterial small subunit ribosomal RNA", at positions 28 to 507 of the family's 1533-position model. The record is from RNAcentral.
GAUGAACGCUGGCGGCGUGCCUAAUACAUGCAAGUCGAGCGAACAGACGAGGAGCUUGCUCCUCUGACGUUAGCGGCGGACGGGUGAGUAAAACGUGGAUAACCUACCUAUAAGACUGGGAUAACUUCGGGAAACCGGAGCUAAUACCGGAUAAUAUAUUGAACCGCAUGGUUCAUUAGUGAAAGACGGUUUUGCUGUCACUUACAGAUGGAUCCGCGCCGCAUUAGCUAGUUGGUAAGGUAACGGCUUACCAAGGCAACGAUGCGUAGCCGACCUGAGAGGGUGAUCGGCCACACUGGAACUGAGACACGGUCCAGACUCCUACGGGAGGCAGCAGUAGGGAAUCUUCCGCAAUGGGCGAAAGCCUGACGGAGCAACGCCGCGUGAGUGAUGAAGGUCUUCGGAUCGUAAAACUCUGUUAUUAGGGAAGAACAAAUGUGUAAGUAACUAUGCACGUCUUGACGGUACCUAAUCAGAAAGCCACGGCUAACUACGUG